Non-coding RNA from Mus caroli (Ryukyu mouse), 525 nucleotides. The record is from RefSeq and is a predicted model, not a curated record. Lineage: Eukaryota; Metazoa; Chordata; Mammalia; Rodentia; Muridae.
UCCCCCUACAUUUCUCUAAUAAAGCUCUUAAACCAUAGAGAGUCUCUUCUCCAUCAAGAUCAGCUGCACACUCUGAAAUGAAGACAACACAUACAAGAGAUCAUUCAAGAAACUGGUUCUUCAUGAAAGAAUUAAUAUAAGAUUCCAUCGUGGCCAGAGAAGCAUGCCAGCAAUUGGAAGACAUGGUGGCAGGAGCAGGAACCUGAGAGAUCUAAGCCACAAUCACAAGGCAGGGAGGGUAACUGAACCCUCUGAAAACAGUACACCAACUGGUUUAAAUAGCCAAGACUAUGAAAUCUGUUCUUUUCUAGUGAGAAUCUGAAAACGAGUCAUUUGUAAUAAGAGAGAAGGUGAGGAGGACCUGGGAGGAAGAGGGAUGAAACUGUAAUCAAGGUUUGAAAAAUGGCUCACAGACAUCAUCUCAUUUAAUUGCAGUAUCCUUGAAGAAUGAACCUUCAUAUCAGGACUGAAUGUGUCCUUGUUUGGGAAGACAUUACACAGGUGUUUGUGGAGAUAUCAUAGGAA